This 1398-nucleotide ribosomal RNA is filed under the name Staphylococcus aureus. Its description in RNAcentral is "bacterial SSU rRNA". It matches the Rfam family "Bacterial small subunit ribosomal RNA". Lineage: Bacteria; Bacillati; Bacillota; Bacilli; Caryophanales; Staphylococcaceae. The record is from RNAcentral.
GUCGAGCGAACGGACGAGAAGCUUGCUUCUCUGAUGUUAGCGGCGGACGGGUGAGUAACACGUGGAUAACCUACCUAUAAGACUGGGAUAACUUCGGGAAACCGGAGCUAAUACCGGAUAAUAUUUUGAACCGCAUGGUUCAAAAGUGAAAGACGGUCUUGCUGUCACUUAUAGAUGGAUCCGCGCUGCAUUAGCUAGUUGGUAAGGUAACGGCUUACCAAGGCAACGAUGCAUAGCCGACCUGAGAGGGUGAUCGGCCACACUGGAACUGAGACACGGUCCAGACUCCUACGGGAGGCAGCAGUAGGGAAUCUUCCGCAAUGGGCGAAAGCCUGACGGAGCAACGCCGCGUGAGUGAUGAAGGUCUUCGGAUCGUAAAACUCUGUUAUUAGGGAAGAACAUAUGUGUAAGUAACUGUGCACAUCUUGACGGUACCUAAUCAGAAAGCCACGGCUAACUACGUGCCAGCAGCCGCGGUAAUACGUAGGUGGCAAGCGUUAUCCGGAAUUAUUGGGCGUAAAGCGCGCGUAGGCGGUUUUUUAAGUCUGAUGUGAAAGCCCACGGCUCAACCGUGGAGGGUCAUUGGAAACUGGAAAACUUGAGUGCAGAAGAGGAAAGUGGAAUUCCAUGUGUAGCGGUGAAAUGCGCAGAGAUAUGGAGGAACACCAGUGGCGAAGGCGACUUUCUGGUCUGUAACUGACGCUGAUGUGCGAAAGCGUGGGGAUCAAACAGGAUUAGAUACCCUGGUAGUCCACGCCGUAAACGAUGAGUGCUAAGUGUUAGGGGGUUUCCGCCCCUUAGUGCUGCAGCUAACGCAUUAAGCACUCCGCCUGGGGAGUACGACCGCAAGGUUGAAACUCAAAGGAAUUGACGGGGACCCGCACAAGCGGUGGAGCAUGUGGUUUAAUUCGAAGCAACGCGAAGAACCUUACCAAAUCUUGACAUCCUUUGACAACUCUAGAGAUAGAGCUUUCCCCUUCGGGGGACAAAGUGACAGGUGGUGCAUGGUUGUCGUCAGCUCGUGUCGUGAGAUGUUGGGUUAAGUCCCGCAACGAGCGCAACCCUUAAGCUUAGUUGCCAUCAUUAAGUUGGGCACUCUAAGUUGACUGCCGGUGACAAACCGGAGGAAGGUGGGGAUGACGUCAAAUCAUCAUGCCCCUUAUGAUUUGGGCUACACACGUGCUACAAUGGACAAUACAAAGGGCAGCGAAACCGCGAGGUCAAGCAAAUCCCAUAAAGUUGUUCUCAGUUCGGAUUGUAGUCUGCAACUCGACUACAUGAAGCUGGAAUCGCUAGUAAUCGUAGAUCAGCAUGCUACGGUGAAUACGUUCCCGGGUCUUGUACACACCGCCCGUCACACCACGAGAGUUUGUAACACCCGAAGCCGGUGGAGUAACC